GCGAGAGUGGCGGAAUUGGCAGACGCGCUGGAUUUAGGAUCCAGUGGGGCAACCCGUGCAGGUUCAAGUCCUGUCUCUCGCA
Molecule: transfer RNA, 82 nt
Filed under: Planctomycetaceae bacterium
Lineage: Bacteria; Pseudomonadati; Planctomycetota; Planctomycetia; Planctomycetales; Planctomycetaceae
Also listed under: 2 other names
Description: tRNA-Leu
Rfam family: tRNA
About the family: Transfer RNA (tRNA) molecules are approximately 80 nucleotides in length. Their secondary structure includes four short double-helical elements and three loops (D, anti-codon, and T loops).
Source: RNAcentral